AGCGAACGCUGGCGGCAGGCUUAACACAUGCAAGUCGAGCGGGCACUUCGGUGUCAGCGGCAGACGGGUGAGUAACACGUGGGAACGUACCCUUUGGUUCGGAAUAACGCUGGGAAACUAGCGCUAAUACCGGAUACGCCCUUUUGGGGAAAGGCUUGCUGCCGAAGGAUCGGCCCGCGUCUGAUUAGCUAGUUGGUGGGGUAAUGACCUACCAAGGCGACGAUCAGUAGCUGGUCUGAGAGGAUGAUCAGCCACACUGGGACUGAGACACGGCCCAGACUCCUACGGGAGGCAGCAGUGGGGAAUAUUGGACAAUGGGCGCAAGCCUGAUCCAGCCAUGCCGCGUGAGUGAUGAAGGCCUUAGGGUUGUAAAGCUCUUUUGUCCGGGACGAUAAUGACGGUACCGGAAGAAUAAGCCCCGGCUAACUUCGUG
RNAcentral lists this ribosomal RNA (433 nucleotides) under uncultured bacterium. RNAcentral describes it as "partial 16S ribosomal RNA". It matches the Rfam family "Bacterial small subunit ribosomal RNA", at positions 29 to 507 of the family's 1533-position model. The record is from RNAcentral.